CAUAAUAUAGGCACAUGUGGCAAGACUAAGAUUCUACCACCACAGCAGCAGCUCUGUGAGCAGUGUCUUGUUCCAGGUGAUAAUCAAUUAUAACCGUAACAGGAAGUGGAUAAUACGCACUAAGUGUCUAAACUUGGUAAAGACGACAAACACCGUCCCUGAGUAUACACCAGCCUGGACGACAGAUAUAGCAACACCUGAAGGAAAGGAAGGAAAGGAAGGAGUGAGGAAAAGCCAACUUUAGAGACAGACCGGGACUAAUUAGGCCCGUCAGCCCCCACGGCCUCCAUCUCCCACGGCUGCUGGUUUCACAGAGUUUGCGGCUGACAAACCAAAUGAGAUGUACCGUAUAUACAAGGUCAGUCCGGUGUUGUGUGGUCGACGCGUUGUGGUGUAAGAACCAGCUGAAACAGUGUUGGGACCUCACACACAGUGUUCCAGCCGCGGCGUUAACGUCACCAAUGAACUCACCUUUCAUUAGGACGUGGUAAAAGUCCAAGACCAAGAAAACGAAGCCAACCUGGACGGACUUCACACACAGAGGGUCCAGUUACUACUGAGACCCUGGAGCAGUGACCAAUGUAUGGACAACAACUUUAAUGUUACUUGAUGUAAUGACGCCAAGACAAGUAUAAUUGCCAAAUCUACCACAUGAACCCAGACAAGCCAGAG
Monopterus albus (swamp eel) is the source of this 672-nucleotide long non-coding RNA. RefSeq lists it as uncharacterized. The record is from RefSeq and is a predicted model, not a curated record. NCBI's taxonomy places the organism in Eukaryota, Metazoa, Chordata, Actinopteri, Synbranchiformes, Synbranchidae. The transcript has 3 exons.